ACGGGUGAGUAAUGUCUGGGAAACUGCCUGAUGGAGGGGAUAACUACUGGAAACGGUAGCUAAUACCGCAUAACGUCGCAGGACCAAAGAGGGGGACCUUCGGGCCUCUUGCCAUCGGAUGUGCCCAGAUGGGAUUAGCUAGUAGGUGGGGUAAUGGCUCACCUAGGCGACGAUCCCUAGCUGGUCUGAGAGGAUGACCAGCCACACUGGAACUGAGACACGGUCCAG
This 228-nucleotide ribosomal RNA is filed under the name uncultured bacterium. RNAcentral describes it as "partial 16S ribosomal RNA". It matches the Rfam family "Bacterial small subunit ribosomal RNA", at positions 102 to 334 of the family's 1533-position model. The record is from RNAcentral.